UGGAAGACAGGCCACUCGGAAACAUUCUGCUCUGUAGUGCGAUUCUGUUUUCCGGCGUGAACAUAACCAAGGCAUUUCGUAUGUUUGCCAUGAUGAAGGUGCCAACACUGACUUUGUCGCAGUACUUCAGAACACAGAAACAGCACCUCUUUCCUGCCGUGAAUGAUGUCUUCCUGAGCAGACAAGCUGAGCUACUGGACCGGCUCCGCCCAGUGCCCCUGACCCUUGCGGGAGAUGGCAGAUGUGAUUCGCCAGGCCACACAGCCCUCUAUGGCACUUACACACUGCUUGAGACAGUUGCCAAUAGGAUCAUCCACUUUGAAUUGGUCAAGGUAUCUCAUACCAAAUCUUUCUGUAACAGUAUCGUAAACAUUGCAUCAUGCAAUUCAUACUUUUUCGGGUAAUA
Molecule: long non-coding RNA, 406 nt
Organism: Ornithodoros turicata
Lineage: Eukaryota; Metazoa; Arthropoda; Arachnida; Ixodida; Argasidae
Exons: 3
Source: RefSeq, a predicted model, not a curated record